AAUGCAGAUGCAGCGUACCGUAGUUUAACACUCACUAGCUCAGCUGUAUGUGCACUGAAUAAAACAAGGGGAGGGGAAGAAAAUAAAUUCCUUCUGAAGAAUCAUAUGACCAUGUGUCAGUGCUGCCAACACUCGUGCCGUAUUGCCACCUGUGCCUCUCACCAGCUGAAGAAAAUAGGUUAUUUCUUCAGAAGCGCCUGAUGGAGCAAGAGUAGCAGCACUUUCAUCAUGGAGACAGAGUGCCUGGCAUGAGUUAUGGAAGGGAGCCCUGAAGAGGAUGAGAAGAUCAGGGCAGUAGUCCGUGUUGGAGAGGGAGCCUUGUGUUGUUACUAUGGUGACGGUACACACUUCCUUCGGACCACACCCCCUGGGGAUGCCGGGUCGCUCUCCCGGAGCGCAGUUGAUGGUUCAUGCACGAGGUGACUCUGGGCACUCCACUCGACACAACUCCAGGAAACACAUGUUAAAUUUACACACAGAAUCUACAUUACGCCAGGUCAACGAAGAUAUAUGGUCCAUUCAGAAUCUGGGAACUGCCAGAAAUGCGGUACUUCUAAUGUUUUGUUUAUGCACUGUUUUUGGAACUGCCCUAAAAUAAAGACAUUUUGGUACAAGGUA
This is a long non-coding RNA of Pseudophryne corroboree (corroboree frog), 618 nucleotides long. RefSeq lists it as uncharacterized. The transcript has 4 exons. NCBI's taxonomy places the organism in Eukaryota, Metazoa, Chordata, Amphibia, Anura, Myobatrachidae. The record is from RefSeq and is a predicted model, not a curated record.